Molecule: ribosomal RNA, 403 nt
Filed under: uncultured bacterium
Lineage: Bacteria
Description: bacterial SSU rRNA
Rfam family: Bacterial small subunit ribosomal RNA
Source: RNAcentral
UGGGGAAUAUUGCACAAUGGGGGAAACCCUGAUGCAGCAACGCCGCGUGAAGGAAGACGGUUUUCGGAUUGUAAACUUCUGUUCUUGGUGAAGAAUAAUGACGGUAGCCAAGCAGCAAGCCACGGCUAACUACGUGCCAGCAGCCGCGGUAAUACGUAGGUGGCGAGCGUUGUCCGGAAUUACUGGGUGUAAAGGGAGCGCAGGCGGGAAAUCAAGUCAGCUGUGAAAACUACGGGCUCAACCUGGGAACUGCUUUUGAAACGGUCAUGCUUGAAUCAUGGAGAGGGUAGCGGAAUUCCGAGUGUAGAGGUGAAAUUCGUAGAUAUUCGGAAGAACACCGGUGGCGAAGGCGGCUACCUGGCCAUGUAUUGACGCUCAGGUGCGAAAGCGUGGGGAGCAAACA